This 439-nucleotide ribosomal RNA is filed under the name uncultured bacterium. Its description in RNAcentral is "partial 16S ribosomal RNA". It matches the Rfam family "Bacterial small subunit ribosomal RNA", at positions 339 to 795 of the family's 1533-position model. The record is from RNAcentral.
CUACGGGGUGCUCCAGUGAGGAAUAUUGCACAAUGGGGGGAACCCUGAUGCAGCAACGCCGCGUGGAGGAUGACGCAUUUCGGUGUGUAAACUCCUUUUAUAUGUCAAGAAAAUGACGGUAGCAUAUGAAUAAGCACCGGCUAACUCCGUGCCAGCAGCCGCGGUAAUACGGAGGGUGCAAGCGUUACUCGGAAUCACUGGGCGUAAAGGACGCGUAGGCGGGUUGGAAAGUCAGGUGUGAAAUCCUACAGCUUAACUGUAGAACUGCACUUGAAACUUCUAAUCUAGAGUAUGGGAGGGGGAGAUGGAAUUAGUGGUGUAGGGGUAAAAUCCGUAGAUAUCACUAGGAAUACCUAAAGCGAAGGCGAUCUGCUGGAACAUAACUGACGCUAAGGCGUGAAAGCGUGGGGAGCAAACAGGAUUAGAUACCCCGGUAGUC